CCCGCUUGUCCUUUCACGGUCGUAAGAUAAUCUCAAGUUGAUGGCAACAAAGUUUGUAUUUAAUCACGCGUCGAAUUUGUGACGAUGUGAUCCAUUCGAAGUAAACAUCGAGGAUAAGAGGUUGGAGCGGAUCAGUUUGCCGAGAAGAGUCGGAGGCAACAGUUUGAUUUUGAAAUUGCGUGAAGAAAUCUCUGCGAAGUGUGAAAGAAAUGAAUCCUGAUCAGUAUAUUCAGAAGCAAAGUUACAUUUUGCUGGAAUCGAAUGCAAUACGAUCGUAGCAACACUAAGACACACUUGGAAAACCUGAAAAACCUGAAAAACCUGAAAAACCUGGAAAACCUGAAAAACCUGAAAAACCUGGAAAACCUGGAAAACCUGGAAAACCUGGAAAACCUGGAAACCCUGGAAACCCUGGAAAACCUGGAAAAACUGGAAUUGGAAAAAAACUGAAAAUAUCAGUUUCCUAUCGUGGGAAUUGGAAACGAUUUUUCGAGAUUGCAAGAUUGAAAAAAAAGAGAAGGAAUGAAGUGUGAAAUCGUACCGCAGCGUUCCCGUGGCACACUCUGGAGUCGUGGUUAUAUUUAUCACCAGCUCAGAACGGAGGUGACAGUCAUAGUGAAAUACUUUUCCGCUGAACAUGCAGAGUCGCCUACACAGCCCGAGACAAUCCAGAUCGACUAAAGGUACUCGAUUCGUUUAAAGAAAGGCCGUUACCCGCGAUAGUAAGACGAAUGAAUGGUACAUAGUAGAAAAAAGGGGCGAGAUCCGAGUGGGCAAGAGUAAACAUGACAAGCGCCAUGUUCGGCUAGCCGGAUGAGCCAACAAUAUCUGCUCAGUAUUGGUCAAGUGCUAUGGGGAAAUAUCUCUAGGCAGAAAUGCGCAGACAGUGCGGCAUUGCGGCAGGUCUAUGCAGGGUACGGGAUUCGCGGGCUGGCUUCUUGGGGACCUGAUACGAGGAGUUACCCCAGGGUGGUUGACACCGGGGUGGAAAUCACAGUCCAUGAAUCAGUAGUGGAACAGAAAAUUAUUAACGCGCGCUGACCUACACGAGUGGGUCUCGCAAGUGCGAGGAUAUUCUGGUGAUGGUUGACAUGCUGGGAAAGAAGCAUGGAUAAUUUAGGGUGGCCCUUAAUAUUGACGGAUACUUAACGAUUGACCGUCAGCGCAGCCUCACGCGUGACCAACACCACACCCAUAUGUAUGAAUACAUGUGUAUGACGUCCAGAUUCUUACAAUGCCUAAUCAAUGAGAAACCUACUUGAACACCUUCUUUUUCUGGCGCCGUUCACCAUUAUUCAGAUUUUCAACGGCAUCAAGCAGGAAGUUGGCAACGAAUUCGGGGAAAUUGCAGAGUGGCAGACUAUCGACGAUCUCGAAGGAGGAAUGUCGAUCCUGCGGAGGGGGAGACAACGAAGAUCCUUGCAUCGCGGGAAUCCAAGACGCAAGGCCGUAGCCUCCCCACCUACCCCACCAACAGCAGACCGACGAAUUUGCGAAGGACCGACUAGCGACGAGGGAGCCCCACCCCGCUCACCGCCGAGCAUCGUAGAGCUGCGCGGCGGACGAAAUUACGAUCUAGCGUCAAGUUCUGCGUCACGAUGCUCCGACGGGUGCGCGUCGAGUUGCGCAAUCUACUAAAUCGAUGACGGAUCAAGCGUUGCGUAUCCUUGCGAGUAUGACGUCGCGUAGGCAGUAGCGUACCGAGAUCGAGAGGCGUUGCGGCAGGCCGUCGAUUUUCAAAUCACUCGAGCUCCGGCGAUUGCGAAGUAGAGACGUGAUCUGAUAGAAUUGUGAUAUCGCGGAGUUUGCUAUUGUGUUUGGAGAAAUUUGGAGCCUUCGAAAAAUCACAAGGGGGUUGGCGCUUUUGUAUGCUGGAUCUGGAACGGUAAGCGCUGCUGAUAUUCUUGCGAUCGAAUUUCGAGAGGAAUUGAGUAAAGGCUUGCCGAAUAACGGAUAGCCAUUUCGGAUUUGCGUUGUCGGAAAGUACUCGAAAUUCGUUCGCUGAUUCUUUUGCUUGGUGACCGUAGCCCGAGUUUCGCGUUAUGGAGUUGAGUAAAUGUUGCUGUGUUGCGAAUGUUAAGUAGAGUCACGGUUCCGAAUUGCGUUUUUCUCGUUUCAAAUUUCCGUACAGCCCGAAUUCCGUUGUACAAGGUCGGUUUGCGGUGCCGUGUUUUUUUGUGUCGC
RNAcentral lists this long non-coding RNA (2184 nucleotides) under Neodiprion pinetum (white pine sawfly). RNAcentral describes it as "uncharacterized LOC124222687, transcript variant X2". The record is from RNAcentral. Lineage: Eukaryota; Metazoa; Arthropoda; Insecta; Hymenoptera; Diprionidae.